UACCGGAUGAUGACGUAAGUCCAAAGAUUUAUCGCCCAAGGAUGAGCCCGCGUAGGAUUAGCUAGUUGGUGAGGUAAAGGCUCACCAAGGCGACGAUCCUUAGCUGGUCUGAGAGGAUGAUCAGCCACACUGGGACUGAGACACGGCCCAGACUCCUACGGGAGGCAGCAGGUGGGGAAUAUUGGACAAUGGGCGAAAGCCUGAUCCAGCAAUGCCGCGUGAGUGAUGAAGGCCUUAGGGUUGUAAAGCUCUUUACCCGGGAUGAUAAUGACAGUACCGGGAGAAUAAGCUCCGGCUAACUCCGUG
This 306-nucleotide ribosomal RNA is filed under the name uncultured bacterium. RNAcentral describes it as "bacterial SSU rRNA". It matches the Rfam family "Bacterial small subunit ribosomal RNA", at positions 167 to 507 of the family's 1533-position model. The record is from RNAcentral.